RNAcentral lists this transfer RNA (71 nucleotides) under Bos taurus (domestic cattle). It matches the Rfam family "tRNA". From Rfam's summary of the family: Transfer RNA (tRNA) molecules are approximately 80 nucleotides in length. Their secondary structure includes four short double-helical elements and three loops (D, anti-codon, and T loops). RNAcentral also lists the same sequence under 2 other names. Lineage: Eukaryota; Metazoa; Chordata; Mammalia; Artiodactyla; Bovidae. The record is from Rfam by way of RNAcentral.
UCCAUGGUGGUCUAGUGGUUAAGACUGCACUCCCAAUGCAGGGGGUCCAGGUUCCAUCCCUGGUCAGGGAA